This 26-nucleotide non-coding RNA is filed under the name Homo sapiens (human). Lineage: Eukaryota; Metazoa; Chordata; Mammalia; Primates; Hominidae. The record is from RNAcentral.
UCCGUACUCCAAACCAUCAGGUGGAC